CCAUUUUCUAACAACAACAGCUGCGUCGUUUUCUGAAAACUUUUAUGGAUUAAAAAGGAUUGUUGAUAAGGAGUCUGGACAGAAUAGCAACUCAUUAACAUUACCAUGGAAACAACAUAUCCUUUCCAUGUUUUACCUUGUGGUUUUGCCAUAUAUAAAAAUAAAAAUGGAUAAAUUGUUCCAAGUUACUAAAG
Molecule: long non-coding RNA, 194 nt
Organism: Anneissia japonica
Lineage: Eukaryota; Metazoa; Echinodermata; Crinoidea; Comatulida; Comatulidae
Exons: 3
Source: RefSeq, a predicted model, not a curated record